Molecule: non-coding RNA, 93 nt
Organism: Mycena rebaudengoi
Lineage: Eukaryota; Fungi; Basidiomycota; Agaricomycetes; Agaricales; Mycenaceae
Source: the annotation of a GenBank genome assembly
GAUCUGUUGGCGCAGUCGGAAGCGCGCUCGUGCCAUCUAUUUCUAUAUUGUCGGAUUCUGGGAGAGGACUCGGUUCGAGCCCGGGACAGGGCG